Molecule: long non-coding RNA, 1085 nt
Filed under: Equus caballus (horse)
Lineage: Eukaryota; Metazoa; Chordata; Mammalia; Perissodactyla; Equidae
Description: lncRNA (ENSECAG00000059524.1)
Source: RNAcentral
CUGGCCUCUUUGGGCGUUGGCUCCUUUGCUUUCAUAUGCUUUUUGUGCAUAGUCAUCAUGGCACCCACAGGACAAGCUCCUCAAAAGAGAUUUGGCUGAUGGGAGUCCCUUCCAACUGGCUCCUGUGUCCUUUUAUAAGCUUGGCGUUUUUGGAGGAACAUAUUCUAUUGAUGUGUCCACCCCACUUCAGCUGUUUUUCUAACUCUGGUUUCCUGGCUCAUAAAGAAGAAACAAUUUGAGGGCGUGGCAUUCCUGAUGACUCUCAGCGGGAUGCCAACUGAUGUCAACUCCCAGGUACAGGGAAUGGGAACUGUGGGUGGAAGACGGCAGAGCCUCUGUCAGCUGUGUCCAAAAUGGCUGUGUGAACCGCAUUCUGACUCCUCGGCUCCCUACCACAUCCCCUGCCCCCGAUCACCAGUCUCUGCCAUUGGGCUUUACGUGGCACUCGGAUUCGGCCUUCCAGAUUGGAAACUCCUUGAGAGAAGUUUGCAGCCUUCCCACAUCCUGAAGCAUAGCUGGAGAAGAGCUCCCUCUGACCCUGGCAGUGGACUCAGGCCGCCAUGUCCCAUGAGUAUUGGAGAGUCAUCCUGCCUGAGUCUGGAAGUUGCUCUGUUCCUGCUCAUCAGUAGCCGGAGCAACUGAUGGGGACGGAAGUGUGGGCCUCCUUCAGAGCUGUUAAAAAAUCAAUGACGCUGGCGGAGAAAAAAAGGGUGGGGAAGGAGGUCAAUAUGGAUCAUAAAUGCGAGCAUCUUUUUCAUUCACUGCUUCCUAGCCUGUCCCCGCCCCUAGGCCAGCUCCCACACAGGAUCGUCACCAAGAGCGGGUUUAAAUUUGCUUUAACUGGUAAGGCCCCAAGCUCCAGUGUGGCCGUAAAUCAGGGGCUGGAGGUGCAGCAGCUGGAACUCAAUGGGAUUACCCUAUCUUGUGACCCGCUGAGCGAGCUGACUGAGGAGCAGUCCCCGUAUCCACUGCUGGGGACACUAAAAUUGUCCUGCACUGUGUCAGCUGCAAAGGUUUCAUAUCGCGUUAUGGCUUUGUGUUGUCUUGGUGGCUCCGGAGUUGCUAACUCAGGGCAGUUGGCCGAC